CACUAAUGAAAGAUAAAAUUGGCUAAUAAAACAAAGUAGAGGGGUAUAUUUGGCCCGUUACCCUACUAUUUUCUUUUUUGUUUGGUUAAGUUGGAAAAAGGAGAUGGUACUUUUAUAAUACUCCAUCUCUUUUGUUCUUGGGUAACCCUCAUCAGCCAGAUGAGUUUCAUCCGUAAGCAGCUACGCUAUAUAUCACCAAUAACUGAACACCUUUAAAAUAUCAAGAGAGAGAUUAACAAGGAAAUAGAAUCUUAUGAAAAUCUACAUUAUUGUCUUACUAAGUUUUCAUAUCUACACAAGCAUCCAAUGAAAUUUCUACUAAAAGAAAAACAAAGAAACUAGACUCCUACUCCUAACAUUUUCUAUCAUGAGAUAAUCUUAUCAAAAUCUACUUUGAUUGUCUCACAACCCUUCGUAUCUUUAAAGAAGAUAAGCACCCAAUAAUUUGACUUAUUCUCCUAUUUAACAUUUUGUAAUUCGAAGUCGUGGUCGACGUAUUAUUUAACAGCAGCUGAUAUAUAGUGUGUACACACCUUGGCGAAUGAAAGGUCACAUUUUUAUAGGUAUACAUAAUAGACGAUAAAUUCUUAGAUGAAAAUGUUUUCUAAAUGGGUCGACCUGGAUCCAUGGAGAUCCUUGCUAAGAGCAAGGCUCUUUCUU
Molecule: long non-coding RNA, 660 nt
Organism: Lycium ferocissimum
Lineage: Eukaryota; Viridiplantae; Streptophyta; Magnoliopsida; Solanales; Solanaceae
Exons: 3
Source: RefSeq, a predicted model, not a curated record